This 91-nucleotide transfer RNA is filed under the name Phaeodactylibacter sp. Its description in RNAcentral is "tRNA-Ser". It matches the Rfam family "tRNA". From Rfam's summary of the family: Transfer RNA (tRNA) molecules are approximately 80 nucleotides in length. Lineage: Bacteria; Pseudomonadati; Bacteroidota; Saprospiria; Saprospirales; Haliscomenobacteraceae. The record is from RNAcentral.
GGAGAGUUGGCCGAGCGGCUUAAGGCGCACGCUUGGAAAGCGUGUAUACUCCAAAAGGGUAUCAAGGGUUCGAAUCCCUUACUCUCCGCUA